This 253-nucleotide ribosomal RNA is filed under the name uncultured bacterium. RNAcentral's name for it is "partial 16S ribosomal RNA". It matches the Rfam family "Bacterial small subunit ribosomal RNA", at positions 524 to 776 of the family's 1533-position model. The record is from RNAcentral.
UACGUAGGGUGCGAGCGUUGUCCGGAAUUACUGGGCGUAAAGAGCUCGUAGGUGGUUUGUCGCGUUGUUCGUGAAAACUCACAGCUCAACUGUGGGCGUGCGGGCGAUACGGGCAGACUGGAGUACUGCAGGGGAGACUGGAAUUCCUGGUGUAGCGGUGGAAUGCGCGGAUAUCAGGAGGAACACCGGUGGCGAAGGCGGGUCUCUGGGCAGUAACUGACGCUGAGGAGCGAAAGCGUGGGGAGCGAACAGG